Molecule: long non-coding RNA, 4319 nt
Filed under: Dicentrarchus labrax (European seabass)
Lineage: Eukaryota; Metazoa; Chordata; Actinopteri; Moronidae
Description: lncRNA (ENSDLAG00005026796.1)
Source: RNAcentral
AACAGCACCACGGGGCCAGAUGUUGAGAUGCCCAACAAUAUUCAGUUUCCCCUGGAACAAUUGGAGGAAGUGGAGGCAUUUGAGAUGUUUUAUAAAGGAACCGUCAAAUGGCGCUGCUCGACAGAGAGUGAUUGCUUCUUUGGUCACCAUUGGAGGCCAAGAUGUGAAGAAGGUGACCUGGAACAUCCUGGGAAGUCUCUUCACAGAUGAGGUGUUUCAUCAAAUCAACUGGAAGGGUGUUAAUAACAAAAAGCCCUUCAGCAGGAUGGCAAUGAAGACCUUGCUUUACAGUCAGUGACACGGUCAGCCACGGACGAGGAGGUCACAAAGCAUGCCAUCAGGUGGUUCAACCUGGCGCUAGAUUGGGCAGCAAGGAGACGUGUCCCGCCACCCUCCACACAAACGGAGUAGCCUAACAGGAGAAAUAAGAAUUAAAAAUAUAUUUUUAUUGAAAUUCUUGUCAUUCACCAGUUAUUCAUUUUCUGAUAUUUUAGCUGUGCAUAGCGCAGCGUUUCAUUGAAGUUGUAGCCUAAUAGAUAAAAUAUUUUAUGUCUGCACCGACGUAGGCCUAUAAAGCACUAAAUUAGGUUUUGACCACAAAAUGAAUGUAGAGUAACCUAACAAAAAUAGAGUAGGCUAUAACCUAUAACUUUGGUCUAAAUGUCAAUUUUAUAUUUCCAUUGAGUAGUGAUUACUUUUGUACAGUAUAUUGAUGUCUUGACCUGAAUCUUUUCUGACAAUAUUGGUAGGUUCAAAAUACAAGGCAAUGCAGAUUUAAGCUUAGGCCUAUAUUGCUGUAGGCCUAAUAGCCUAGGCUUCGCCUAGUGAUAGUUUUAGUUUUAUCCUAUAGUUUAGUUUAUCGUAUUUUAUCCUACAGCAAGAACAGAAGGGAUUUUGAAAAUGAGAUAAACGGGUCCAAAACGGACCUGGGCCAGAUGAGCCAGGAUUUUUAUGAGUCCGUUGCGGGUCCGCGGCAGAUGUAUGUGGAGGUAAGGUUUUAAUCGCGGAUGCAGCGCGGAGCCGCGGCGGGUCCGUUCCUGAAGCCGCCAUACCUCCACGGCGGAGUCCUUUUGCUGUGUGGGUUGGUACAUACACCCAAUACAAAAUAUAGCAAAAAGAGCCUUUGCAUGUGUAAAAUUAACAACAAUCUAACCUCCUAACACCCAGUCUGACAAAAAUCUGUAAUUAUCUGCUAUUGGAAUUUAAACCAUCCAUAAAUACUGUAUGUAUAUGUCAACAUAUUAUUUGAUUGGACUGAUGUUAAAAUAUGAAGUACAUACAGUCCUUCUACUAAAGUACACCAAGAUCACAGUGUAUUGCUGACCAUCAAAUGUUUUUGUUGUACAUUGACUAAAUGCUGAGUGUUAAAAGAAAAGAGACUGAAACCUCAUUAAUAUAGGUUUGGGGUGGUCCUCACAAAGAUAGCAAUACAAUCACACACACACACAUGGAUUUGAUUCUAAUUUGUCUAUUUUUAGAUUAUAUUGUUACAUUGCAGGUGCAGAUGCAGAUGCAGGUGCAAGUCUCUGUGUGACCUCUGUAUGACCUUUGUUUCUUAGGUGCACCAUAUAGGACCACUCCUAUGCUGUUUUAAGUAUUUGAACCUUAUCUUAUUACUGUUUUAUUUUUAACCCAAUAAUAUGUUACUACAGAAAUAUAAAUUAUCCUGCACAGUUAAAGCCUGCAAUGAGAGAUAACAACAUAAACACAGUACCUCAGUUUCAACUUUGUAUUACCUGAAUGCAGAAAGUUCACAAAAUUCAGAAAACCCAAUAUGAAAAAAAAAAAAGAAAACAAAUAGAAAGACCCGGGUAAUUUAGUCUUUAGUCUGUGUUAACCUGAGUGCAGUCUUUGAUUUAAUUUGUUCUUUAAGUAAGCUUGCAUUAAAGUUUGUUGGCAUGCUUAACGUUGGAGCUCAUGAAGUAAAUAAAGCAGCAGUAUCUCCUUGUGUGGAGUGAAAACAUCCCCUAUCACAUCUGUAGAAAUCCCUCCCGCUAUACCUAACUCAUUUUGCAGCAACACAGCAGAGAUGAGCAGCAGGGACCACACCUUCACCGGUAGCAGAUAGUCCACAGUGCUGGUGAAAACACCUGUGACAACCACUGAAUCUCCUACCAUUGUAAAUAACUGGCAAUAACUCACACACUUGAGAAAACAGGCAGAAGGUGAUUUUGGUGGAGAAUUUUGAUUUGUCUGCUUCCAUCUUCCCGAGCACUGGUCAAUUUGGCACCUGACUGUCCACCACAUAUGGGUUUGAAGCCCAGCAAACUGCCAACUUAUGCUUCCUUUGCACUCCUAAAUUCCUUAUCAAGACUGUCUCCAGGCAAUAGCUCUGAGGAAUGGAUCUUCAGGUCAUACCUCCACUUAUUGCCUUUGUUCUGCUUGGCAGCAAUGGCUUCUGCAACUUCUUACUCAGCUUUCAACACCUUCCUCAUAUCCUCGUACUUGGGGUAAGUUUCCUGUCAUGUGCUGUCGUACUUGAGGUGUGCCAUCACUGGACGUUCCAAAACACAGAUCCACUGGCAAUCUUGCUUCAUGCCCACACAUAAGGAAGGGUAAAAACCCAGUGGCUUUAUUGGAAGUGUAAUUGUAUGCGUGGACAAGGUGCCCAAUUUGCUGACUCCACUUUUUCUUUCUGUUUGGCUCCCUAGGUCCCUAGCAUGUUUAAUAAUGUCUUAUUAAAUCUCUCAGGCUGGAGAUCCCCCUGAGGAUGGAAAGGCAUAGUUCUUGAUUUCUCAACCGCAAGCGCACUCAGUACCUCACAGAUAAGGUAAUCUCUCAAAGUUCCUUCCUUAAUCACUGGUUCAAUGGACAAAAAUUCCAUACAUACAAGGUCCAGUUGCCCUCCUUGUUGUAUCUUUAACCAGUCCGACUCUCUCAAAAGCAGAGGGCAGAUUUUGUGCUUUGUCUGAUCAACUUGUGUGGCAUUUCCAUGGCUUAGAGCUGACUAUACCUCUCCAAUGCCAGGAUCGUCUUGUUGAGCAUUUGACAGCUCAGCAGGACUCUAAACAGGCAUCUCCUUGACACUCUGUGAUAAUUUACAGAUUUUCACACAUGUACAAAAACUCACAACACACAACAGGCCCCAGGGUUAUACAGAGGAUGUCUUUCCAUAAAGAUUUUACAUCAGUUUCAUGUCAGACAGCUACAAGACUCAUAUUUUACAGACACAAAUGAAAAGACUUAGACAUAUUUUUUUUUAGAGUGCCCAAGGCUUUAAAACACAAUUCAAUGUUAAUGCAGAAAAGCUGUUAAAUGUUUUCUCAGCCAGUUUCCAAUUUUUCACAAGUGGCUAAAUACAAUAUUUUACUGUUUUUAUAUGCAUAGGUUUUAAGUUUUGUAAAAAGGAACCUGAAUGCAGCACUGCUCUGGUAACUAAUGGCUCUCUGCUGCUGCUUACUCACCAUGAUACAAACACAUACACCAACCAAACAUGAGUCACACACACAUUUAAAAAAUCAUACAAACAUAAGCCUUUGCUUAAACUUGAAGCAUCCAACCUCUUUGGAAAAAUACUGAAAAACUGGAAAAUUGAAUACCUCGGAAAAUUCUGUUUAAGACGUUUUAAUAUUUUUUAAGGACCUUAAUUGUCCCUACAAUAACUUAUCAACUUUUACAACUUUUCAAGACUCGGUGAGAAAAAAAGCCUUAAAGCCGUGAAAGUUAACCCUUUAAGCGCCAAAGUCGCAAAAUUGCGACAGGACGCGGUACUGAAUCAAACAGCUGUUUUCUCCUAAUAGAGUGUUAUAUCUCAUUCAUACUCCCUUCCACUAGUUUGCAGACAUCCCGUACUUAGACCUUAGCUCAGAAAAACGUCAUGCUUCAAUUCAAAAUGUUCGAGGAAAUCCCAUCCAAACUUGACUUUUUUGUCAAAAGCGACUAGCGUCAAAUCUAGCGACUUUUACUGGUGUUAUUAGAGACUUUUUUGGUGUUUGGAGACUCUGACGUGAAAGCACGUAUCACUCUGCAGUGUGCUCAACGAGCAGCGGGUGCUGCCGUGAGUCCCUCCCCCGUCCAAAAGCACUCACAGGCGGUCAGUCUCACAGUAGCCCCGCACAGCAGUCCCAGCCUGCAGACAGAGCAGAGAGGAGACACACACCACUCCGCGUCCAGGCUGCAAAUGAAUCACGCAUGCACCGCCGUUCUUGCCCUGGCAUACAGAGUGGGGUGAAAAUGUAAAAGUUUCUUCACUCUCACACAAAAUAAUUAUGCAAAUUAGGUGACUUUUAGGACAGCGAAUAGCUACUGAGGAGUUGUUGGGUGAGAAAUCGGAGAUAGUGUGCCACGAAGCCAUUUAUGCUGAAGCGGUAUUGCUGGAU